UUAGGAAGUGGUGUAGUGGAAGCACCAAGAGUUUUGAUCUCUUUGGGGGGGUUCAAGUCCCUUCUUUCUAAG
This 72-nucleotide transfer RNA is filed under the name Solegnathus spinosissimus (spiny pipehorse). Its description in RNAcentral is "tRNA-Gln". It matches the Rfam family "tRNA". From Rfam's summary of the family: Transfer RNA (tRNA) molecules are approximately 80 nucleotides in length. Their secondary structure includes four short double-helical elements and three loops (D, anti-codon, and T loops). The record is from RNAcentral. Lineage: Eukaryota; Metazoa; Chordata; Actinopteri; Syngnathiformes; Syngnathidae.